CCACUUCUCCUUCAUCACUAUCUUGUCCACUUCUUGCACACAUAGUAAUAAUCAACUUAAUAAAACCAGAAAGAAAUACUCUUUCUCUAUGUUAAGUGCUCAAAGACCUACCACCAGCACCUCCACAAGCCAUGGAGAAACCGAUCACGACCAAGAACAUGAAGAUAUCCGCGAUAUCCAUGCCUUAACCCCACCCCCGCCGCCUUCGGUGCCUCGAGGCCGUUGGGAAACGGGUAGCCAUCGCUCAAUAUCCAUGAGUAGUGAAGGGGCUGCAAGUGAGAACUUCACCUCCAUGAGUAGAGAGUUCAAUGCUUUGGUUCUUGCUGGUUCUGCAAUAGGAACUAGCAUGAACAACAACAAUAGCGGUUCUGAUCAUAAUGAAGAUAGCAACUUAAACAACCUGUUGGCUAGGAUUGGGGAAGAUGAAGUUCCUGAAGAGACUAACCCUUUGGCUAUUGUGCCUGAUACUCCGCCCUUGGACCCAGAACCCAGCUCAAGCUCAAGAAGGGUUGGGUCCAAUCAGGUGGUUGUUGGUGCUGGUGGUGGUGGUGCUGAUGUGUCAGUGCAGAGAGUGAAGAAAGAAGAGAUAGAAACCAAGAUAUCUGCAUGGCAAAACGCAAAGAUUGCUAAGAUCAAUAAUAGGUUCAAAAGAGAGGAUGCCAUAAUUAAUGGCUGGGAAAGUGAGCAAGUGCAAAAGGCUUCUUCUUGGAUGAAGAAAGUUGAGGUAUGUAUAGAAAGAAAUUAAUUAUUAGUCUAGUAUAUUAAUUAUUUAUUAAUUUGCCUGUUAAUUAAAUUUUUGAAUUGAUGAUCCAAAGCUAAUAUGUUUCCCUUCUCAUGCAGAUUUUUUCAUGAUUAUACUAAGGACUUGUUAAUUAAUUACUCAAUUGAGAAACAGAUAACAAUCAUAAUUUCUUUGUUGAAUUUUUUGAACCAUAUUGAUUAGAGAGAGUCUUGAUGAUGUAGGUGAAGUUACGUUGAUACUUUACCUAUAUGACAAGAGUUAAUAUAGACCACUAGUUUAUGAUCAAAUAAUGGAAUUUCUUGGAUUUGUAUUUUAUCUAUUGCUAGUUAGUGAGCUAAUUUUAGCUCAAGUUUCAAUUUCAGUAAUUAUUGCUUCCACAAAAGAUAAUAACUAACUUUCAACAAGAAAAGUAUUUUCAUGCUUCAAGCACUACUCAAGACAGAAAAGUACAUGUGAGAAUUAUACCUUUACAAUUGAUAAGGCAUUUUCAUAACGGCUUAUAUCUAAAGCAUGUAUAUGUCUUUUACUGUUUCUUCUUCUUCUCCUUCUUUUCUUUUUUUUUUCUUGUAUCAACUAGAAAAUUAAUGUUGUCUCUGUUUUUAACACUCUCUUUUUUGUUCUAACUUAUAUGAGCUUGAUUUAUUUAGAGGAAGCUGGAGGAGAAAAGAGCAAGAGCACUAGAGAAGAUGCAGAAUGAAGUAGCAAAAGCACACAAGAAAGCAGAGGAUAGAAGGGCAUCAGCUAAGGCUAAAAGAGGAACAAAAGUUGCUAGAGUUCUUGAAACAGCCAAUUUGAUGAGAGCUGUUGGAAGAGCUCCUGCUAAAAGGUCCUUCUUUGAACCUUAUAGUACUAUACAAUAUAAUCUACUAUAAUCAUAUAGAACAUAUUUUACUUAAAAAGACAAAAAAAAAAAAAAAAAAAAAAAAAAAAAGAAUGGUGGACAAAAAUAAUUGUCCCAAACUAUUAGGGUUCCUACAUCUUUUGAACUAUAGGAAACCCAUGUCUGAAAUGGGGCAGUGAGGAAUUGCACUCAAAAACUAAGGAUGAACUAAGGCUCAGAUUGAAAUCUUCAGUAUUUUCCAUUUCCAUCAAAUUAAGCUUUCCACAGUCUCCAAUAACCAAAGUUUCUAAUGCAGAUAGAUUCCUUAUACCGCGAGGUAAGGAUGCUAGACUCCCGCAAGAAGUUAUAACCAAUGUUCGAAAGGAUGUCAGAGCCUGCAUAUCAUCAAACAAUUUUUCCAAACUCCCACAUUCAAACAAAGACAGAUAUCUUAGAGAACUGACACAUCCUAUACCAUUUUCUGGUAAGGAAGUCCGUUUUGUAGUUAUCUCCAAAAACCUGAGGCGAGUCAUCUGCUUGAUAUCUCUAGGAAUUUCUUCAAGCUUCUCACAUUCUUCAAGUCUUAAGGUCUGCAAAUUCUGCAGCCUGCAAAUGGAAUUAGGGAGUUUUCGAAGCUUCCGAUUCCUAUAAAGGUCAAGAUAUCUCAAAUUCUUCAAUGUACCAAUUGAAUUUGGCAAUGUCUCAAAGCAUGAAUCGCUAAGAUUAAGCACUCGUAAGUGCUUGAAUCUUGACAUGCAGGUGUCAAUAAAUGUUCCGCUAGUAGGCCCCAUCCCCCUAACUGGGAAAAAUAUAGUUCUUACCUUCUCUAACUUGUGCAAGAACUUAGGAACUUGUUGACUUGGCAAAUUACAGUUGAGCACUCGCUUUGCGCAACUGAUAUAGCUAGAUCAUGUACAAGAUCAUGCAUUUUGCAGGAAAAAAAGAAACCGUGAUCCUCAAUAUCUUGGAGAAAAGAUCUCGACCAUAGUUCUUUCACAAAACGCAACCCAUUCUCUUUCAAUUCUUCAUCUUCAUCAGGCGAUUCAAGAAGUCCAUAAGCCAUCCAAAAUUGAAUCAAUUCAAAACUGUACAACACAUAAUUUUUGGGAAAGAGGGAACAAUAAGCAAAACAUCGUUUCAAGUAAGAUGGCAUGUGAUCAUAGCUCAACUUCAGCACCGGUAGGAUGUCAUUUUCUUGAUGUUGUAAUUUCCAUAUCUCAUUGUCUCUGAUGGACACCCAGGUUUUUUCUUCGGUUGAUGAAUAAAGUAGACUUCCUAAAGUUCUCACUGCUAAAGGAACCCCUCCACAUUUCCUUACAAUCUCAUUCCCAAUAUCUAUGAGAUUCGGAUAUUGCUUCUCUUGUCCUGGAUUAAAUGCCCAUUACCAAAACAAAGACAAACAAUCCUUAUGGGAAAGACAGGCAAAUUGUAUGCAAAAUCAUUGCCUACAACAGAAGCAACUUUUGAACUCCUUGUAGUUACAAUAAUUUUACUUCCCAAAGCACAAUCCUCCAACAAACCUCUAAAUUCAACCCAUUUAACCAGAUUUUCAUUCCAAACAUCAUCCAAAACAAGCAAAAACUUUCUACCACCUAAACUCCUCCGCAAUCGUGCUUGCAAUUGAUCCAUUGUCAGGUCACCAUAACUCCUACCAGUAGCAGAACUAGUAAUCUCCUUAGCCAACCUAGUAACAUCAAAUUCCUGAGACACACAAACCCACAUCUUCAAUUGAAAAUUCUUCUCCACCCUUUCAUCAUUAUACACCAUUUUAGCUAAUGUCGUCUUCCCUUGGCCACCAAUUCCAAUUAUACGAACAACUGAAAGAUUUUCUUCCUUACUAUAAUGCAACAANNNNNNNNNNNNNNNNNNNNNNNNNNNNNNNNNNNNNNNNNNNNNNNNNNNNNNNNNNNNNNNNNNNNNNNNNNNNNNNNNNNNNNNNNNNNNNNNNNNNNNNNNNNNNNNNNNNNNNNNNNNNNNNNNGUUAGAUUAUUUAAUAAUCUGUAUGUAGCCCAUGUGAUUAAAGGGCUGGUUCUAAUUAAGGUGGCCCAAGAUGAUGGUUAUUGGGCUUAAUGAAUAAGAGACAGUUAGGGUUUUAAUACCCUUCCUCUGCCUUAUAAAAGAUAAAGGAAUCAACAGAUUAGAGUUAACACAGAAACAAGAGAGUGUGAUGGAUACCUCAAACACAUACGGAGAUAGUAAGCAGUCACAAGGCACAACCAUUAAACUUACACUGAAUCAAUCAGAAAUACAUCAUUCUACUUCUGCUAAAUCUCCUAUUAGUUCCAAAGAAUACCUUGCUUCAUUUAAAGAGAUGCAUAAGGUUAUGAUUAAAGAUUAGACCCGUACUCUCAAUAAGCAAGGCGAAUUUCUACAAUGUUGCUGUCCCAAAUUUGCAAGCUCAACAAUGACACAUCAAUAUACAAGUCCAUUCGCAUUCACGCAUUGGCAUAUCAUAGUAGAUGUAGUNNNNNNNNNNNNNNNNNNNNNNNNNNNNNNNNNNNNNNNNNNNNNNNNNNNNNNNNNNNNNNNNNNNNNNNNNNNNNNNNNNNNNNNNNNNNNNNNNNNNNNNNNNNNNNNNNNNNNNNNNNNNNNNNNNNNNNNNNNNNNNNNNNNNNNNNNNNNUUUUUUUUUUCUGUAAGGCUAAGUAGUAGUUGUGGUUGUAUUGACAAACAGCAAGAAAAAAAUUCAAAAUUCAAUAACAUUUCAAAACCAACAAUAAAAUUACUCCAAGAUAACAAAAGUCAGCAUUCAGCAACGAAAGGGAAUGUACUGUAACAGAGGGAUUACCUUUUUAUGCAGAGCUCAAAACGCUUUUACUUGUACUAGGCUUGGGGAAAAGAAAUAGGUAGCGGCGGUUGCGCUAUUAGGGAAGAGAUUGGAGAAUUUGGGAAUUAGGGGUUUCUUUUCCCCAGGCCAGUUACAAGAAGAGGCGGUUGCGCUAUUAGCCGUGGAGUGGCUAUAAUUGCAAUUUGCAGGGUUUUAGUUGGUAGAUUAACUAACAUAAGCUUAUCGAAUCUUGAGGGUUUUAUUGUUGUUAUUUUAUUUUAGGAAUAAAGUUAAAAAUAUUAAAUUCAAUAUUUUGAGUCAAUUAAAUCUUUGAAUUUGUUUAAAAUAAUCAAAAAAAAAUCAGAUUAACAUUUUAGAUCAAUUUAGUUGUUGAUUCUUCUAUGUAUUUUCAGGCAUAUAAGACUAUAAUUAGAAUUAACUUGUAUAAUUUGUUAAAAUUAAUUAAUUAAUUAUUGAAUGGAAGAAAACUAUCUAUGAAGUAUAUUGUAGCCGUCUUUAUCUUGAUCAAUGAUUUUGAGUUCAUAAAUAUAUAUAUUAAUUUGAAUAUUUUAAAAUGAGGUAAUUACGAAUUUAGUUUCUAAACUUUUGAAAAAUUUUUAUUCAAUAUCUCAACGAAAAAACGUUUACAAUCAAAUUUCUUACCAAAUAAAUUUUUUUCGAUUAGGUGUAUUCAUUUUACGUGGCUUGUUGAAAAUAAGAAUAGGAUUCAUGAGACCCACUUAAUAUUCAAAAUAUUGCUAAGUAGGACGGCAUAUAGCUUAACACGUCGGAUUUAACAUUUAUAGUAUAAAAAAUGUAUUAGUUAAUGCAAAUUUAGUACUAUUAACUAAAUAAAAUAAUGAAAACUUUUAAUUAUCUUGUUACCAGUUUUAUAAAAUGGAUCACGUACGAAACACCAACAAUAAUCUUUUAUAAAAUUUAAAUCAAUGCAUAUAUCAAUUUGGAUAACUCAAAUCUAUAAAUGUUUUAAUAUAUGAUAUUAAUUAAGAUCAUUUUAUAAAAUUUUAUAGAAAAAAUUAUUUAUCUUGGUUAAAUAUUUCCAAAAAUUUUAAUAUUCAUAUUAAGACUUUUUAUUCAUUUAUUUUUUAUGUGAAAUCAUAUCAUUUUCAUAUAAAUUACGUGAUAUGUAAAAUUUUCUUAAAUACAUAUAUAAUCACAAAAAUUUUCAAAUUAGUUUUUUAAAAAAAGAUAUUUGAAAAGGAAAAAGAAAAAGUACGUACAUAAUCAAUUAGAUUUACCUGCUACGAUAAGUUAGCAUGCCAAAUGACACAAAAAGAAAGUACAUGUACUAGUAAAUUAUUUACUGUAGUAGAAGCCAAAAAUAAUAUUCAAUCAAAUUAAGUUUAUUUUGGGUCAAAGUUAAAGAUAAGUAAUAUAGCUGAAGAUUUCUUAAUUAACAGUUACUAAAACAGUUAAUUUUGAAAAACAAAGCACGAUAAUGAUAAGAUUUGGAGGUUUGGAGAAAUUUUUCACUGCUAAUUACGUAAAUAAAUACCCUCUUAUGAUUUCAUUCCAUAAUUUAGUUAAUAAAAUAUCUCAUCGUUUUUUUUUUUUUUUUUUUUGGUUGUUAAGUGUACCUAACUUCAAUACCCACGACGGAAUCAUAUGUGGACUAGCUCGAAAAUAAAUGUUCAAGGUUUGUUAGGAAAUAACUUUCACAUUAGAGAUAUGAAAUAAAUUAUACAGUAGAGUAAUAUAUUAUCUUAAUGAUAAUUUUAAAAAGUGGGUAUAAGAAGUUGUUUUUGCUUAGUUAUAUGAUAUGGACUAUUGUUGACCUAGUUUAUUAAAACUAGAUUAUAAACAUCAUCAUGCCUAGAUAGAGUAAAGAAAUUAAAUAAAUUCUGCAGUAUAAUAGCACACCGAGGCAUCGUCCAAUGAUAAAUGUAUAUACGAUCUGUCAAUAGAUUCAAUUAUUUACUGACUGUAAAUAAUUUUUUGCGGUGGGCACACUAACACUAGAGACCCUUUCAACAUCGGCUCUUUGCUUUUUCACUGGAGAUAACUUCCUCCAUUGUAGUCUCUCCAUUUCUCGUGUUUCCUACAAAAAGCAAUCUUCUGCAUAAGCUAUUCAGGAACUUUCUACUCCUCUAUAUCUCUUCAAUAUACGACUCUCUAUGACUUCCAAAAAUAUCUCUCUUGCUAACAAAAUUGAUUCUUUUUCCAAAAUUUCAAGUAAAAAUUUGUAUUAUAUAAGUUAUCCAUCAAAUAAUGUGAUUUUCACCUUGUAUUACUUGUAUAUGUUUCAUUUUAUCAAUUUCUCCUUCAAUCUAGAUUUUUCUUUAAAACUAUAUAUUUGGGACUUGAAAAGAAAGUGAACAGUAAUUAUAUGGUUUUAGAUUUGGAUCCAAAACAAUUCUAUAUUUGAUUUGAUAAACAUUGUAUUUGACCAUUCAACACCUCAACUUGUAAACAACACUUAUUAUAUAGUUAAAAAUGUAAAAAAUAUUGUUCCAAAAGUUGCAUUAACCACGUAUCAAAUCAAUAUUUUGUAAAUAAAAAUAAAAAACCUUAAAAAAUGUUGCUCUUAAUUAAGGAGGUGUGAGAUUAUUACAAAAAGUGAAAUUCAAUGUAUCACAAGGUUACUUUUAAAUUUAAAAUGCCAUAAAAUUUUGAAAAAUUAAUUAUUUAGUCCCUAAAAUACGAUGAAAUUAUCUAAGAAAUUCCUUCGUUUUGAAUAAAUACUCAAAGCAUCCCUGACAUUUGCAUCUGUCACCUGAAUAAUCUCUUCGUCCACUUUUAAUGGUGUUUUCCCUUAAAUAUAGAAAAAAGUAAAAGAGAGGAGAGAGAACAUAUAUAAAAUUGAUAAAAUUACCCUUCUCUUGUUUUUCCUCAAUGGGAAAGCCUUCACGCAUCUACAGGUGAACUAGCCUUUUAGAUAUUUGGUAAAAUUACUUCACUAGUAUUGCAAUGAGCAUGAUUAAUUAAAAAAAUUCCUAAUGAAGAGGAUGUAAUUUCUCCAAAACCGAUACUUUUUUUCAACUAAUUUCCUCUUGUUAUCUAAUAGAAAGUAAAUUCAAGUUAAAGAAGCCAAAAGCGCGUGGCGAGAGAGCAAAUGAGUCUGUGCAUAAUAAGCCAAUAAACAAAGCCAACACUGUAUCUGCGAUCUCCUUAGUCCGUAAUGCGUCCACAUGGACAAGCUGGACCUCCAGGUCGACAGAAAGAGCCGAGUCGACGGUGAGGCAUAGGAUAGCUAGUAAGGACGAAAUCGACACUGAGCAACACGAGGAAGGUAAGCAAGAGAGUGGAGAUUUUGGGUUUGGAGGCGAGGGGGUUUGUGUGGAGAGGUUGGGAAGAGAGUUUGAAGAUGGCGAAGAUGAAAGGGGUGGGGAUAUUGAUGGCAGAGAAGCCGAUGGUGGAGGAGCAGUGCAGGGGAGAUGGCGGGGAGGGAGAGAAUGGAUCUGUCACUUUCAUAUGGCCAAAGGGUGUUUUCGUCCUUUCCAUGUCACUUAAGAAAAAAACGGAGGGACUAACGACGGAUGUAAACGUUAUUGACACAAUAAAUAUUUAUUUAAAACGAACGAAUUACUUAAAUAAUUUCGUCGGCUAAAUAAUUAAUUUUUUUAAAUUUGUUUAUCAAAAUUCAAUAAUUAAAUUAUGUAUAAAAAAAGAACACGGCACGCUUAGACAUGCUAUGCUUAGACAUGCUAUGCUAAUUGAAUAUAAAGAUUAUUAAAAAAUACAAACAAAGAAAAGAUGAUCCAUAAUACCACAUGAACAUAAAAUAAAAAAUUACUUAAAUUUUCUACUUUAAUAUUCUUAAUUAAAUUUUCAAUCUUAACAUCAUUAUUAAAAAUUAGGGCCUCUAUCUUUGAUUUGUUUAGAGAAAAUUAGCAAUUUGAUGAAGAAUUUCAAUAUUUUUAGAAGUUUCAAAUUCAUCACUAAAACACUACAUAUUUUAGGUUGUUCAAUAUAAUAUUAUAGGCAUUUUCUUGAUAAAAACCGAAGAUCACUAACAAUAUAUAAGUUUUGUGAAAUCUUGAAUUUCAAUCGACAUUGUGAAACGGCCUUCUAAAGUUAACACCACUAGAUAUUUAUGUAGUAAAAAACUUAUAAACUGUGAUAAUUAUUUGAAUUUUUUUUCAUUUGUAUAUCUUUAAACUUUUACUUUACGUACGAAUAAUUAUCUAAUAUAUAUUUAAGACCACAAUUUUAUUAAUAAAUUUUUAAAUAUUUUAUAAAUUUUUUAAAAUGUCUUUAAAAUAUUCAGGAGGUAUCUUGAAAUCUAAAAAAUUAAUAAAAUUUAUAAAAAAAAUAUGAAAAAUUUUUUUUCCUAGAUUGGUCGCUGCACUGCACAAAGCAAAUAAAUGAAAUGAAUUCCACAGUUUAAUAAUGUUAUUUUUUAUUUUAAUCACAAACCCAUUGGCCCGAGAGUAUAAAUAUCGUGCCCAGACAGAGCACAAACUUGCAAUGUUAGAAAGUCAAUCUUCUUUGUCUAGCAAAGAAUCUAAGGUUAAACUAGGUUUGGAUGGCUUGGGAUUAGAUGUUUGAGUUUGUUUAGGUUUUUCAUAGUCAUAUUAAUACUGAUAAAAUAAAUUAUUUUACUGGAAAAAAAAAAUCAUUUCCAUCUGUGUUUGAUCUUUGCUCAUCAAACCAUUCACUCACUUCCAACGAGAAAACAAUGGUAGAGUCUUUUUUGUUCAUUACUGCAGAAAGCGUUUUGGGCAAACUGACUGCUCUUGCUCUUCAAGAAUUUUUCUUGGCAUGGGGGCUUGAAGAUGACCUUGAAAAAAUUAAAGAGAUGUUACUUGCUAUCAAAGCUGUGCUUUCUGAUGCAGAGAAGCGUCAAUCCCAGGAUCACCGGAUAGAGUUUUGGCUUGGAAAGCUUAAAGAUGUUCUUUAUGAUACGGAAGAUGUGAUUGAUGAGUUCGAAUGUGAAGCUUUGCGAAGGCAAGUGGUGAAAUCCGGAAGCACUACUAGGAAGGUACGCCGAUUCUUUUCUACAUGUAAUCCACUUGCAUUCCGCCUUAAAUUGGGCCAUGAAUUAAAGAACAUUAGGAAGAGAGUAGCUGAAAUUGCAUCUCUCAAGUCUGAUUUUGGUCUCAAUGAGCAGAUUAAUGAUAAUUAUGUCAUCCAUACGGAGAAGCCCAUGACCCACUCCUUUGUGGAUCCUGCAACUGUCACUGGAAGAGACCAAGACACAUAAUUUAUCAUUAAAAAUUUGUUGAAUGCUGCUGAAAAUGACAAUGUCUCCAUUAUUCCAAUUGUUGGAAUUGGAGGAAUGGGGAAGACUACGCUUGCUCAAUUGGUGUAUAAUGAUCCUAGAGUAGUUACUCAUUUUGAGUUGAAAUUAUGGGUCUGUGUCUCUGAUAACUUUCAUUUGCAAACUGUGAUAAUUAAGAUUCUCAACUGUGUAAGCACUGGUCAAAGAUAUGUGGGUUUGGAUAUUGAGCAAUUGCAAAGAGCCUUGCGAGAGGCUUUACAAAGAAAGAGAUACUUACUCGUAUUGGAUGAUGUUUGGAAUGAGGAUAGAAAAAAAUGGGUUGACUUGAAAACUUUAUUAAUGGUGGGUGCUAAUGGAAGUACGAUCAUAGCCACCACACGAAGCAAUGAUGUUGCUACAAUUAUGGGCACAGUUGCUCCAUACGCUUUAGGUCGGCUUCCUGAACCAGAUUGUUUGUCUUUGUUUUUUAGAUGUGCAUUCGGAGAAGUGCAGAACCAAAAUCCAAACCUCAUACACUAUGGAGAACAAAUUGUGAGUAAAUGUAAGGGAGUUCCUUUAGCAGUAAUAACUUUAGGAACCCUACUUUACUCUGUAACAGAUGACAGUGCUUGGAAAUUUGUAAUGGAGAGUGAGAUAUGGAAAUUAAAGCAAAAGGAUAAUUAUAUUAUGCCUGCUUUAAAAUUGAGUUAUGAACUGAUGCCAGCCUACUUGAAGAGAUGUUUUGCUUAUUGUUCGAUUUUUCCAAAAGAUUAUCCAUUUGAUGAUGUUGAAUUGGUUUAUUUUUGGAUGUCACAUGGACUUAUUCAAUCUUCAAAUGAAAAUGAAGAGUUGGAAAAUGUGGGCUUGCGCUAUUUCCAAGAGCUAUGCUCUAGAUGUUUUUUCCAAGAGUUCUAUAUAAUAGAUGGCCAUGUUAAAUGUAAAAUGCAUGAUCUAAUUCACGAUCUAGCAUUAUCAGUCACUCAAAAUGAAUGCUUAACGGUAAUAAAUGGCAAUGAACCAUUAUCUGACAGCAUUCGACACUUAUCAUUUCCCUACCCUCAAUUACUUCCACAGGAUCUUCCAACACCCUUACAAGACCUAGAUUCUGUAAGAACUGUUUCCAUUUUAAAUGAAAGAAGCGGGGCUGUUGCAAGUGAAGUUUUCAUUGAGACAUGUAUCUCAAAAUUCAAAUACUUGAGGACCUUGGAUUUGGGUUUUUCCAGGGUGGCUGUACUCCCUAGAGGGAUAGCCAAAUUGAAGCAUUUGAGAUAUCUUAGUUUGUAUGGGAAUAUUCGCAUCAAAAGACUGCCUGAGUCCAUAUGCAAACUACAAAGCUUGCAAACUCUACUGCUUGGUGAUUGUGAUGGUCUUAGAGAGUUGCCCAAAGAUAUAAAGUACUUGAUUAGCCUUAGAAUGCUUUGGAUAACUACACAGCAAAGGUAUUUACCAAAUGGUGGAAUUGGGUGCCUCGGAUCUCUUCGAUAUUUGUUCAUCAUCGGUUGUGAAAAUUUGGAGUAUUUGUUUGGAGAUAUCCAAGGUCUGAAAAAACUUCAAACUUUGGUUAUCCGUCAUUGUCACAGCUUGGUCUCUUUGCCACCAAGUGUGAAAUUUCUAGCUGCUUUGAAGACUCUUGUUGUUGCGAGUUGCGAAAAUCUUGAUUUGACAAUGGAGGAAGGAAUAGAUAGUCAAGACUCGACAAGCCAAUUAUUUAGCCUUUGCAAACUGGAGAUUGAAGGCUUACCAAAGUUAGUGGAUUUUCCGCAAUGGCUUCUUCACAGAUCUAAUACCGGUUUAAAAGUUAUCAAAGUUGCAUGUUGUUGCAACUUCAGGAACUUUCCAAACUACAUGCACGGCAUACCAUCGCUUGAGUUACGUAUCACUGGGUGCCCCCAAUAUCAAGGGGAGGAUAUUAUUAUAUGAAAUAAAGGGUAAUUUUAAACGACUUGUAUUUUGGAGGAAUGAUUUUGGAGGAAUGAUGUAGAGAGUAUGUUAUUAAUCAACUUAUUUAAUUUUCUUUUCAUCUAAAAAAUAAUUUUACUUGUGGUCAAAUGUUUUUUUUCAUAUAUUUAACUAAUUAAAAUUAAAAUACAAUAUGCUUAGAAAAUUUACCAUUUCGUAAGAGAACAUUAUAUUUUAUGUAUGUAUAUAUGUUAAUUUGACAAUUCUUAUGUCUCUGGAUUAAUAGGUCAAGACCUCAAUAACUCACUCGGUUUAGUUUGAGUGUUUGGAAGAUGGAAAUUAUAUGAGGUUGCUAGGUGCAGUGAAUUGCCUUAUAUGAGGUAAAUAUUUCGCUUUUUAAAGACAAUAUCUUUUUUUUUUCCCUUUAUAUUUGUUAAUUUCCUCUUUGUAUAUAUUCACACACUUUGAUAAAAUUGAAUUUGUUAGAGAAAAUGGACACUUGUCACCUAUUAGCUAAGGUUUUUGAUUUGAAUUUGAGUAGACUGUUUUUGACUUGGAUUGUAUAUUGCAGGUGUUGUGGCCUUUCAACAAAAAUUAUCGGCCAAUGAUAAACAUAAAUGUUAAAUGUUCAAUUAGUUGGGCUUUUUUUUUUUUUUCAUACAACCAGGAGGAGUAAUUUCUUUGGAUCGUAGAGCGUAAAUAUUUUUUAAAAUCAUUUACCAUUCUAACCAUCACUUUGUUGGUUCCAUUUCCUUCCUUGUUGUGUUAUUAUUUACAAUUUUCCGUGGUUUGUGGAUUUGAGUAUUUUAUGUUUGUCUAGUGUAAUUGUAUUAAUGUUGUACUACAUAUUUGUAAUAUUGUACUUGUAUAAAAGAAGUCCUUUAAAACUUAAGUGCAUGUCAUUAAUUUUUAAGCGGGCGAUCUACUCGCUGCCAUCUUUUUAUGUGCCCUGUUAUGGAUUUGAUAUUUGAUCGUUGAUUCUUAAUACCCUUCAAAUAAAACUGAAAAUAGAUAUCGGUUGAUCCUUUAAAUUUGAAAUCUUCUUUCUAAAGUGAUAGUCAGUUUUGUAUUUAAAAUUGACUUAAAAAAGUCUCGCUAUGAGUAUUAUUGUAAAUAAGUCAAUCUAUAUAUGAAAAUGCUCGAGGCUCUGUUUAAAAAAAGCUCGCUUGAACUUGUUCGAUAAGUUUAACGAGUUGACUCAAGCUGAACUAUCAAGUUCAUUUAAUAAAUACAUUAAUGACUUAUCAAGCUCAACUAGAUAUGUGUUAAUUUUAUAAAAUUAUAUAUUAAUUUCGCUAUAAUUUGGAAAAUCAAAAUUUUAUAUUUUUCUUUAAAAAAUAUUAUUUGUCUUUUCAUAUAAAUUGACGGAUAAAUGACCAACUUUUAAAACUGACGGAUGUAUGUAUUAGUUUCGUUAUAGAAAUUUCGCUAUAAUUUGGAGAUUUAAAAUUGUCUUUUUUUUUUUUUUUAAACAAGAUUAUUUUAAUCUUUUUAUAGAAAUUAAUGGAUAAAAGAUCAACUUUUCGAACCGAAAGAUGUAUGUAUUAGUUUCGUUAUAGGAAUUUCGCUAGCAACGCAAAAAUUUAUUUUUUUCUUACUAUUAUUGUACGCACACAGGCCUGCCAAACUAGGAGGAAAACUUUGAGGCCCAUUGGAUGGCAGAGACUAUCUAGGUCUUCUAUGGAUUCUUCUCCUUCUCCAAUAAUAUAGGAUGUGCAUUUUUCUCAAGUCUUAAAAUAUUCCUUUUUAAAAAAAAAAAUUCGUCCAAUGUAUGUUUGACACCUCAUUUAUUUAUUUUUUUUUAAAUGUUUCACCGAAUUCAUUGUAUUCUUAAAAAAAACAUAAAAAUUUGUAACUUCGUGGAGAAUAAAAGAGAACGAAAAACCUUAGUUCAAAGUUUAUGUCUAGGGUGUAUAAUAUUUUGCAAUAGUUAUUCUUUUUAUCUAUUAUGGUCAUCUACUCCAUAUUAUUUUUCAUUUUAGUUUAAUUUUAUUGAUUUAAAUUACUUCAAUUUAAAUGACUAUCAUUUAUGUAUUUUAAUGGAUAUCUCAAUUUAAUUCAUGCGUGAAUGGAAAUUAUUUCUUUUUUCGAAUAAAUUUAAGAGUACAGUUCUUAUAUUUUAUGGAAAUAAAUUAGAUUAGGAGUGAAAAAUAAAGAGCCACGAGAUUGAAUUUUAACAAUAAAUAGAAAAUAUAAAUUCAUUUUCAUUCAAUGCACUAAAUCAAUACAAAUCAAAUCAAUGCCAGACACUAAAUCUCUAUAUAUCCAUUUAAAUACAAAAAAGUCAAUUUCAUAUUUUAAAUAUUGAUAUUGAUAUUUAAUGGAUAUAAUAUAAAAUAAAUCUGUUAUUUAUUUAUUUUUUAUUGGUUUUUAUAAACAAAUAUAUUAUUAAAAAAAAAUCAAUCAAUCUACGAGAUAAUCAAAGUAGCAUGUUUGUUCAAAGGGUUACCCAAAUCCCAAGAUAUGCAUUAAAUGAUGUUACAACUUACCUUACCAUACAUAAACAAAAAAAAAAAAAAAAAAAAAAAAAAUGUAGGUCAAUCUUGAAUCCCACUGUUGAAAUGAAAACCCUCUCUGUGAAGGUUUUGGAUUUUAUUGGCAAAAAAAGACAUUGAGAUAAUGAGAUAUGUUAACAUCAAUUAAUGUUAUUAUAUUUUAUUUUAUUUAAUCAUAAAAUAAAAUACUAUGCAAGCCAUUUUCAUUUGCAUCGAUAGGUCACUCUCACACACCCAAGUCUCAAUACAUUCUAAGACACUUGACACCAAUCUUUAUUACUAAACAGUGGACACAUGUUACUUGGAGAAUACUAUGUACAAUCUCUUAAUUAAAUUUUCUUUCAAACACUUAUUGUUUAUUUGUUGAAACUCAUCUGUUUUUUUUUUUUUCUUAACCACCUAUUUUCUUGGCAUAUUGGAUUAGAAUUAAAUCUGCUCAUACUAGAUUGGCUCCACUCAAUAAUAAAGUGCUCCAGCCAGUAUUUAUUCCGUAUAUGAAAAUCGAAUUUAAUAUAAUACGUAGAUUUAAAUUAUCCUUAUCAGAUCAAGCGGCGUAUAAAAACUGAUUUGAAACUAUAAGUGAUGUGAAACCAUAGAGUUAUAGGUGACUUACUUUUAAAUUAAAUAUAAAUAUAGAUUAAUUAAAUGAUAAUUAUUGAAAGAGAAUACUAUUAUUAAAUAUUAAAUAUUAAUAUCAAUGUCGGUUGCUAGCAUUUCUAUACGUUACAGUCCACCACUACUAAUUACAUCAUAGGAUAGCUCCAAAAUUAGGGAAGAGUACAUUUGUGCAUUUCUCAUUGGACAAGCAAUGCUUAAAACAAAUUAAUUACUAUUUAAACCCGUUUAAAAAUAUAUUUUGUAUAGUAUGUAAUCUUUAAGUUUGCAUCUACCCCUAUAAAGUUAAAAUAUCUUUUUUAAUAAUUAAAUAUAUAUAAAUUAUCAUAAACAUUCGCUUCAUAAAUUUAACUAUUUUGAUAAUAUAUUUAGUUUUUUAAUUAAUAUAAAAUAUUUCCUAAUACUAUAUUCUUAGUUCUUCCUAUAAAUAUUUUAAUAUCAUGCAAGAAUCAAAGCAACUAUAUUCAAAGAAAAGAUCUAGCCAAGUAUAUGUAUGCAAUUUUUUUUUUUUACUUAUUGUUUUAAUAUAUAUUUUUUUAUUAUCACUAUUAGAUAUAUUAAAUUCAUCUCUAUGUAUAACUAUUAAGAUAUAUUUUUACAGCAAACUAUUUUAUAUUUUGUGUUUUCACGUUAAUUUUUUUUAAAAUUUUUCCAGAAAUUAUGUUAACGAAAUUUCUUUAAUUUUUAACAUUUAUACUAAAAUAUUUUUGCAUAUUAUUGCUGAAGUUUUUCAUUUAACGGUAACAAUUUUGUAUAAUAAUUACUUUUAUUAUACUAUUAGAUCGCAGUUGCCAGCACCUUUCCAUAUUUUAUUCCACCACUCCCAGUUACAUCAUAGGAUAGCUCCAAAAUUGGUAAUAGUAUAUUUCUGGAUUUCUCAUUGGAUGAGCAAUAAAUUAAUUACUAUUUGCACACCGAAACAUAAUUUAAUGAUAAAUAUAUAUACUACCUGAUAAUAAAUUCAGAUUUAAAUUUUUUCUCCCGGUACUCAAGAAAAAAAGCACUAUUUAAGCUCACAUAAAAAUAUAAUAUAUAUUAGUAUGUAUCUUUAAGGUCUUGAUUUUCCUAUUUAAGAGUCUUUAUAAAUACAGAAAUAUAUAUUUUUAAUAUUAUACAAGCAUUUAAAUAAGUAUUCAGAUGAAAGCUUAGAUAUAUUAUUUUCUUCUGUAUUUAUUGUUUUAAUAUAUAAUUUUAUAUUAUCACAUUCUAUAUUAUCACAAAGGCCAUACCCACGAAAAUUUCUUUAAUUUUGAAUUUUUUUUGAAAGGAAAUUUUGACUAUUCAACGUUCAACUAAAAUUUUCAUGUUUUUAUUGAAGGUUUUUCAUUUGAAUGUAUAUCGAAUUUUAUAUAAUAAUUACACUCUUAUUUUAUUAAAAUUCAAAUGAAUCAUAUUUUUAAUAAUUUUACAAUAUGCAUAAUAAUUAUAUUCAAUAUUUAAAUUUAUUAAAAUGUGCUAAUAUAAAAGUCAUAAAAAGAUUAGUCAUCAUAAAAGUAGAAAAAAAAAAAAAAAAAAAAAAAAAAAAAGAAAACAUUGUGAAGGUUUGAUUUUUAUUCUCUAAUCACUAAACCGCGUAUUAUAGUUGAUUAAUGACAUCUCUAAGAUAACAUUAAUUUAUCAUGUGAGACGUGGGCAUCUUGCAAACCCAAGAGGAUUAGAGAGCGAGCGGAAAGGAAAAUCCAAAAACACGUGGCAAAAAUAUAGUGGAUUAGGCCAGCGUUUGCAUGGAAGGAACAUAUGUAGGUCCCAGUGACGAGUCCUUAUCGGACUGAAGUUUUGCCACGUGUCCACCAUCUACAGAAACUUGAUUGAUACCCUACGACGCGUGUGUACUGGUUCACCACCACUGACCUAAUCCUGGUGGGGUCAAGCCAAUUAACUUUAUGGCCGACACUUACUCACCAAAAUGGGAAAAGUCUAUCUUUUGCAUAAACGUCCUCAUAAUUUCCCGAAUUUAAAAUUGUGACCUAAAAUAAACUAAAUUUAGCAAUUCAUCCCCAAUACUUAUUUAAUAAUUAUAAAUUUAGCAAUUUGAAAGUAGCCCUUUUCAAGGAAUCACUUUUUAGGUUAGUAGCUCAACUAAAUAUCAACUCUAAUAGAUUUNNNNNNNNNNNNNNNNNNNNNNNNNNNNNNNNNNNNNNNNAAAAAAAAAAAAAAGCAUUUCUCUAACUUUGAUAGUAAGGGUUAGAUGAUCUAAUAUCUAUAGAUUAUUAGGGAAACAAAAAUAGAAAAAGUGAAAUUUUAUGUUAGAUUUUUAGAUCAACCUAACAAUUAAUUGUUGGAUUUAGGGUUACAUCAUGAGAUAUGUCACAUUCAAAAGAAUUAAAAAGAAGAAAAAAAAAGAUUCUUUAAGUCAUUUAUAAAUGAUAUAGUAAUUUAUUUAUGUUUAUGAUAUUCAUUGCUAAGGAUAUUUUUCUUUAAUAUAUUAUUUCUUAAAAUAUCCUCUAAUCUUAUUUUAUUAGAUAAAUUAUUGAAUAUGAGGUAGCUUUUUUUCUGUAAAAGUUUAAACUCGAUGUUUUUUAAAACAUAAAUGUGUAACUUAAGGGUUUAUUCGGCAAAAUUAGCUAUUUUAGUAGCAUUUAGUUAUUAGCUUUUAUUUAGCUUUUUAUGAAACUGAAAAUCUAAACCUUAUAUGAAUUAACUUUUCAUAAAAUGCUACCUUAACAUUUAAAACUUAAUUCCAACGGUAUGUUACCUGACCACUAUAAAAAAUAGCAUUAGUGUUUUGGCUGAUCAAAACUCUAAACGUUACUUAAAAAAUUAUUAUAAAAUACUAUUUUUGAAAGUCGUAAAAAGAUUAUAAUCUCUAAAAGAAAAAAUUACAAUCUAUAAAUGAUAUUUGCAAUAAAUAUAUAAAUAUAUUCAUGGCUCUAAAAACCUCCCAAUUCAAUCUAAUUCGAGUAAAGAAUUUUAAAUUUAGUUAGUUAGGGAUUUUAUUUCAAGCUAUGUCAAAUUCACCUAAUUAAUAAAAUAUUAAUAUUUUAUAUAUACUUUAUUGUUAUGAGUAAGAUUUAAAUAAAUUUCUAAACUCCAUAUUAGCUAGGUCUAGAUAGGCUAGACCCAAAUUUAGAAUAAAACAUCUUAAUCUAUCUUAGGCUAAACCUUUUUUUUUUUUUUUUAUAACCAAGAGAGCGAAAAAGUGCAAAAAUUACCUUUCUCGACGAUUGAACUUGUGUUUUUACCUUUAAAAAAGUUGAAGUUGCUUACUACCUCAACCAAUACCUUGUUUGUUUAGGCUAAACUUAUUUAAGAAUUCAUAAAUUAGCAAAUUUUAUCAAAUUAAAAUUUAAUAAUUCAUUGAAUAAAUAUUGUGUCUAGACUUGACUAGACUCAUUAAGCCAGAGAAAUUGUAAUUAAAUAUAUUUUUGUUUCAAUUUAAACCUAUACACAAUUAUAAAAUAAAGUAAAAUAAGAGGAAUACAAACAAAAUAUGGAAACUAUGAGGACUAACACAAAUAGCACUUUGAAAAGUCAUUAAAAAAAAAUCCAAAAGAAGAAAAAAUAGAAGGGGCAAAAAUAAACCUUGAAUCCUAUAGGGCCAUUUAUGGACCUUUAUAAUUUUGGAAUUAAAGCUUAUUCCAAAGAAUUAUGUUUGUGGUUCAUGUUGCUAAAUUAUUACCACUCAUAACCAAGACCAUAACGAUAUCCCAAUCUUUAACUCUUUUUUCUCACUAACAAAAUCCCACUUCUCCUUCAUCACUAUCUUGUCCACUUCUUGCACACAUAAUAAUCAACUUAAUAAAACCAGAAAGAAAUACUCUUUCUCUAUGUUAAGUGCUAAAAGACCUACCACCAGCACCUCCACAAGCCAUGGAGAAACCGAUCACGACCAAGAACAUGAAGAUAUCCGCGAUAUCCAUGCCUUAACCCCACCCCCGCCGCCUUCGGUGCCUCGAGGCCGUUGGGAAACGGGUAGCCAUCGCUCAAUAUCCAUGAGUAGUGAAGGGGCUGCAAGUGAGAACUUCACCUCCAUGAGUAGAGAGUUCAAUGCUUUGGUUCUUGCUGGUUCUGCAAUAGGAACUAGCAUGAACAACAACAAUAGCGGUUCUGAUCAUAAUGAAGAUAGCAACUUAAACAACCUGUUGGCUAGGAUUGGAGAAGAUGAAGUUCCUGAAGAGACUAACCCUUUGGCUAUUGUGCCUGAUACUCGCCCCUUGGACCCAGAACCCAGCUCAAGCUCAAGAAGGGUUGGGUCCAAUCAGGUGGUUGUUGGUGCUGGUGGUGGUGGUGCUGAUGUGUCAGUGCAGAGAGUGAAGAAAGAAGAGAUAGAAACCAAGAUAU
This 18779-nucleotide long non-coding RNA is filed under the name Jatropha curcas. Its description in RNAcentral is "long non-coding RNA (JCUR_LNC002774)". The record is from RNAcentral. Lineage: Eukaryota; Viridiplantae; Streptophyta; Magnoliopsida; Malpighiales; Euphorbiaceae.